This 253-nucleotide ribosomal RNA is filed under the name uncultured bacterium. RNAcentral's name for it is "partial 16S ribosomal RNA". It matches the Rfam family "Bacterial small subunit ribosomal RNA", at positions 524 to 776 of the family's 1533-position model. The record is from RNAcentral.
UACGAAGGGGGCUAGCGUUGUUCGGAAUUACUGGGCGUAAAGGGCGCGUAGGCGGUGUGUCAAGUCAGGCGUGAAAGCCCCGGGCUCAACCUGGGAACCGCGCUUGAGACUGGCACGCUAGAGUUCGGGAGAGGAUGGUGGAAUUCCCAGUGUAGAGGCGAAAUUCGUAGAUAUUGGGAAGAACACCGAUGGCGAAGGCAGCCAUCUGGACCGACACUGACGCUGAGGCGCGAAAGCGUGGGGAGCAAACAGG